This 380-nucleotide long non-coding RNA is filed under the name Medicago truncatula (barrel medic). RNAcentral's name for it is "long non-coding RNA (MTRU_LNC007200)". The record is from RNAcentral. Lineage: Eukaryota; Viridiplantae; Streptophyta; Magnoliopsida; Fabales; Fabaceae.
AAGAGUUAUUUUUCUUAAAAAAAAAACCUUGAUUCUCAUCAAGAGAUUUUCCUAUUUAAUUUUCUUUAAUAAAAACUUUAAUGCAUUUAAGCAUAUUUAAACCCUUUCUUAAAAUAAAUAAAAACAAACAAAUUUUCUCUUUGCCAUUUGGCUUUUAUCUUUUAAAACCUUUUCAAAAACAAUUAAAAAACAUCAAACAAAUCACUCAGCUUUUUACCCCGAAGUACGUGGUUUUGCUCCCUCAUGGGUACGUAGGCAUAAGACCUAGUCUUGCCAAGUCAAAAAAAUAAUAAAAAAUAUUUUCUUUUUUCUUCAUUACAUUAAUCCUUUUUACAAGCAAAAUAAUAAAUAAAUUAUAGCCAAAAAUAAAUAAAAGCAAG